GGGCCUAUAGCUCAGUGGUAGAGCGUCCCGCUGAUAACGGGAAGGUCAGAGGUUCGAUCCCUCUUAGGCCCA
RNAcentral lists this transfer RNA (72 nucleotides) under Pseudomonadota bacterium. RNAcentral describes it as "tRNA-Ile". It matches the Rfam family "tRNA". Rfam says of the family: Transfer RNA (tRNA) molecules are approximately 80 nucleotides in length. Their secondary structure includes four short double-helical elements and three loops (D, anti-codon, and T loops). Further hydrogen bonds mediate the characteristic L-shaped molecular structure. tRNAs have two regions of fundamental functional importance: the anti-codon, which is responsible for specific mRNA codon recognition, and the 3' end, to which the tRNAs corresponding amino acid is attached (by aminoacyl-tRNA synthetases). tRNAs cope with the degeneracy of the genetic code in two manners: having more than one tRNA (with a specific anti-codon) for a particular amino acid; and 'wobble' base-pairing, i.e. permitting non-standard base-pairing at the 3rd anti-codon position. The record is from RNAcentral. Lineage: Bacteria; Pseudomonadati; Pseudomonadota. RNAcentral also lists the same sequence under 1 other name.